RNAcentral lists this unclassified non-coding RNA (352 nucleotides) under soil metagenome. RNAcentral's name for it is "partial contains 5.8S ribosomal RNA, internal transcribed spacer 2, and large subunit ribosomal RNA". The stretch from base 1 to 120 matches the Rfam family "5.8S ribosomal RNA", at positions 35 to 154 of the family's 154-position model. The record is from RNAcentral.
GAUGAAGAACGUAGCGAAAUGCGAUAAGUAAUGUGAAUUGCAGAAUUCAGUGAAUCAUCGAAUCUUUGAACGCACAUUGCGCCCGCCAGUAUUCUGGCGGGCAUGCCUGUUCGAGCGUCAUUACAACCCUCAGGCCCCCGGGCCUGGCGUUGGGGAUCGGCGGAAGCCCCCUGUGGGCACACGCCGUCCCUCAAAUACAGUGGCGGUCCCGCCGCAGCUUCCAUUGCGUAGUGGCUAACACCUCGCAACUGGAGAGCGGCGCGGCCAUGCCGUAAAACACCCAACUUCUGAAUGUUGACCUCGAAUCAGGUAGGAAUACCCGCUGAACUUAAGCAUAUCAAUAAGCGGAGGA